ACGCAAGGAAAACUAGUUCCACGAUAUUGUUGCGCCCGAAACUUAGAGACGGGACCAAGCUUUCGUCCGUGUCCAGCGGCCAGCGCAGUAGUGCCAUCCAACACGACCUUGAACUUUCUUGAACCAGAAAAUGGCGACCAGGAAGUGAGUUUUGGAAGUGAUCGUGAUAGUGUUUGCUGUUUUAUAAGCAAAAUAUGAAAUGUCAUGGGAUACCUUAUCAGCCCGUGGAUACAUAAGAUCUUCCAAGAAGUUAUAGGGAUGCAGUGUGAUUGCAGUGUCUUGCUUGCUGGCCGCAGUUUGACCCAACAGCCACACAGAAGUAGAGAUGCAGUCACAGAGACAGCCAUCCAACCUGGACUUGGUGACCAGUGAGAAGUCUUCAGCACUCAUCCUGGUGACAGUCCUGGAUAUCUGGGGCGGAGAGGCACUUUCUGACUCUUCAGAUCGAAAGGUGAAGAAUACAGCCACAUCCAAGGGAGAUAAUCCACUUUCAUUGCACCUGCCAAUCAAGCUUCUUCAGUAACCUAUGCUGUCUAGUGAUCAUUUCCACACCACCAGUUCUCACCUGUGCAACGCCUGGGUCACCUACUUUCCUCCAUCUUCCCAAGGCAAGGGAAUUAGGCAAGGCAAGGGACUAUAAAAGUCCUGUUUCCACCCUUACCGAAUUACGUUGGAAUUUCAUGGCUCGAUCCUAGCACCACCAGUGGCAAUCACGUGUUAUGGCCCUUCGAUGUCCAUCCAACUGACCAGUCAGUUUCCACCUCCCUCUCAUAUCACUUCCAUUUGCUCCAAACAAUAUGGUGGCGCAUAGUCAAGAUGAUCUGACUUCCUAUUUUGUUACAUUGUCUGUUUUUCACUGAUUGUUCACCUGUGAAUACCUUUAAUUAAAGAAUGGUAGAAAUUAAAACAUUUUUUCAUGAAUUUUCAAGUGCUACACAAUCUGGGCAUUGCAGUGAUAGGUAGCUUGUUGGUAUUGCCACAAACAUGAAUGUACCAGAACAGUUUAAAGAAACAGGAAUACUUUUCUUCACCAAGUCUCUGGGAACUUGGUGUGCAGGCGUUCAAUGGCUGUAGGAACUUGAUGUACCAAGGGAAAUAACUCUGGUUGGCUUGUGUUGAAAGAGUUCAGGGUGUUUGUGCUGUGUCUGGUUCUACUACACUUAAUCAGAAUCAGUUGUGCCUGAGGCUACCUACCUACCUACCUACCUACCUACCUACCUACGUAAGAAUAGCACUUUGAGCAUGCCCCUGAGUGGUGUGGAAAUAUGUGCAAUAUAAAUGGUCAUUAUUAUUAUUAUUAUUGUACAUUAGAGUGUAAUGGUAUGGACUUUUAUUAGAUCGAACACUUGAGUCUUGUCAUACUAUCUCUUGGCUCAAGUAUCAUGUGUUGUACAUUUUAGUGUUAUCAUGUGGACUUUUAUAAGCUGAGCCUACUAGACUGAACAGCACAUCACUUGAUGCGGGCUUGGGGCCAGUGGCUAAAGUUGCAGACUGUGCAUUUAGCUUCAAUCUUGCUCUUAAUCUACCUGCAGGGAACUCUCUUUGUUACAAAGUUUGAGAUUUAAAACUUUGUACAUGUGUCAACUGUUUGUGUAAUUCUGUUGGAACCAAACGUCUGAAGACGUGACAAAAACCUGUAAGUCAGCGGGGAAGGUGGCAUUCUGUGGUCACAAUAAAGUCCUUUGAUUGAUUCCUCACGUAUUAGGUCGCCUUGUUAUUCCCCCCGGCAUGUAAUGGGGGGUUAAUAUAGUCGAUGUCUUGUCUGUCUGUCCAUCUGUCAGCCCUUCUGUCUGUCCGUCCAUCUGUAAUUAUUUCAUUUCUGGAGCACAACUCAAAAACCAUUCAAUAUUUUACAACAAAACUUGGCAGAUAUAUCAAACAGAUCCUGAAAUGGUGCCUUUUAAUGUUUAUGGAUUUUGGGCAGUUUUUUAGUUUUUCUCGAUUUCCAUGGAAACAGUUUGGACUUUGUCUCUAAAGGUGGGAUGAAUUUUGUUUCUGAAAGCUGUCCAAUAUUUUUCAACAAAACUUGCCGGAUGUAUCAAACAGAUCCUGAAGUGAUGCCUUUUCCUGUUUGUGGAUAUUUGGUGUUUUUAAUUUUCUCGAUUUCCAUGGAAACAAUUUAGACUUAGUCUCAAAAAGGGUCGGGGUCAGUGUCGUUUCCAGAGCAGAAUUUUAAAACUGUAAAAGAAUUUUCUUCC
Molecule: long non-coding RNA, 2198 nt
Filed under: Haliotis rufescens (red abalone)
Lineage: Eukaryota; Metazoa; Mollusca; Gastropoda; Lepetellida; Haliotidae
Description: uncharacterized LOC125377512, transcript variant X2
Source: RNAcentral